Salvia miltiorrhiza (redroot sage) is the source of this 856-nucleotide long non-coding RNA. RefSeq lists it as uncharacterized. The record is from RefSeq and is a predicted model, not a curated record. NCBI's taxonomy places the organism in Eukaryota, Viridiplantae, Streptophyta, Magnoliopsida, Lamiales, Lamiaceae. The transcript is spliced from 3 exons.
UUAAUUUAUACACGAAUAAUGAGCAGAAGCCAGUAUUUGAUUGCAAAAACGCGAUUAAAUAUACAGAAUCAAUCAAGAAGACAACCAAAUCAAUUAGCAAAAGAAAAAGUUUUUCAAUCUAUUAAAGUUUAGAUAAAGUUAUUAUUUCCAUCUUUUGCUAACGAUGUAUACGUCUUUGCUCUCCACCAACUCCACUCAAUUAUUCAUUCAAUAAGCACCAACGUUCCAAGAGAGAAAGUAUUGCAAAGUUAGUGGAAAAAAAAGGAAAAGUGUGCUGCCACCUUUUGCCCACCACCUUUUGCUUUCCUCCCUCAGCCAACCACCACCUCCAUGGCUUUUAAAUUCAGCCAACAAAACUAAUCAUUCAUUUCAGAGGGAGUAAGUUAAUUCCUGCUGCCAACUGCCAAGUAUCGAGAGGUGAGUCUUGGCCUAAGUUUUCUUCAUUCCAUACUUGGUUCUUUCUGCAUUUGUUGAGGAAACAAUAUUUGCAAUUUCAGUUCCUUCCCCAUUGAAUUCAAUAGCAACAAACAGCCACCAACAACAAGCAAUUACAGGUCAAGCGCGAGAGUAAGAACUAUUCAAGGAGUCACAAUACCUUAGCAAAACUUUGCUAUCAGGUUGAGUUGUGAUGGGCGAUGAAGUGUUGCUGAGUGGAGUUUUUGUCGAACUUAAAGUAGGCUCAGAAAGGAUACAUGUCUUCAUACAUGUAUCUCAGUUAUGCAUUCCGCUGUAAACACUGAUUAUUUCAAUUACGCCUUCCGUUGCAAACUCUGAUAAUGUUUUAGCCAAGCCCCCAACGAUGCCUUUUUCCUUUUAAGGAAUAUAACGCGUAUACAAGUUCUUUGAGUACCCUUUU